This is a long non-coding RNA of Eriocheir sinensis (Chinese mitten crab), 972 nucleotides long. RefSeq lists it as uncharacterized. Lineage: Eukaryota; Metazoa; Arthropoda; Malacostraca; Decapoda; Varunidae. The transcript has 3 exons. The record is from RefSeq and is a predicted model, not a curated record.
GCACAUGGUAAAUACGCACAUGGGAAAUACGCACAUGGAAAGACGCACAUGGGAAAUACGCACAUGGGAAAGACGCACACGGAAAGAUGCACACAUAUACACACGUACAUGGAAGGUGAGGACACACAUGCUAUCUAGAAUACGCACAUGGGAAAGAUGCACACAGAAACACACGUACAUGGAAGGUCAGGAAACACAUGUACACACUGCUAUCUAGAAUACGCACAUGAGAAAGACGCACAUGAAAGGUGAGCAAACACAUGUACACACUGCUAUCUAGAAUACGCACAUGGGAAAGACGCACAUGGAAGGUCAGGAAACACAUGUACACACUGCUAUCUGGAAUACGCACAUGGGAAAGACGCACAUGGAAGGUCAGGAAACACACGUACACACUGCUAUCUGGAAUACGCACAUGGGAAAGACGCACAUGGAAGGUCAGGAAACACAUGUACACACUGCUAUCUGGAAUACGCACAUGGGAAAGACGUACAUGGAAGGUCAGGAAACACAUGUACACACUGCUAUCUGGAAUACGCACAUGGGAAAGACGUACAUGGAAGGUCAGGAAACACAUGUACACACUGCUAUCUGGAAUACGCACAUGGGAAAGACGCACACAGAAACACACGUACAUGGAAGGUCAGGAAACACACGUACACACUGCUAUCUAGAAUACGCACAUGGGAAAGACGCACAUGGAAGGUCAGGAAACACAUGUACACACUGCUAUCUAGAAUACGCACAUGAGAAAGACGCACAUGGAAGGUCAGGAAACACAUGUACACACUGCUAUCUAGAAUACGCACAUGGGAAAGACGCACACAGAAACACACGUACAUGGAAGGUCAGGAAACACAUGUACACACUGCUAUCUAGAAUACGCACAUGAGAAAGACGUACAUGGAAGGUCAGGAAACACAUGUACACACUGCUAUCUGGAAUACGCACAUGAGAAAGACGUACAUGGAA